This 325-nucleotide unclassified non-coding RNA is filed under the name Hevea brasiliensis (rubber tree). Lineage: Eukaryota; Viridiplantae; Streptophyta; Magnoliopsida; Malpighiales; Euphorbiaceae. The record is from RNAcentral.
GGUGGAAGGUGGCUGGUUCUUUGGGGUGGGGAGUUUGCUGGGCUCCUGCUGAUCUUUCGCGAAGGAAGGUAUCUCGAUGAAUUUCUGCCACUGCUCCUUAGAUGUAUUUUCACUGGGCUUCGAGUGGGACUUCGCCUGGCUUGAAUAGCUGGACUUUUGCUGAAGCCUUUUCUGACCGGGCUUCUACUCUGACUUCUAACGGGGCUUAAGCUAACAUUUCGUCUUGCAGGGCUUCUGCUUAGCUUGCUGCUCCUCGGAGGAGGUUGAACAGGGCUUCUAAUAGAACUUUGUGGAGGGGGGCUCCUGCUCUCAGACCUUUUGGGAC